RNAcentral lists this long non-coding RNA (578 nucleotides) under Phoenix dactylifera (date palm). RNAcentral's name for it is "long non-coding RNA (PDAC_LNC004363)". The record is from RNAcentral. Lineage: Eukaryota; Viridiplantae; Streptophyta; Magnoliopsida; Arecales; Arecaceae.
GAAGACCCUUUUGGUAGUGGGACUAGAUCCUGCAUCGAAGGGACAAAACCAUGCGAGAGUGUAGUACCUACACGGACCCCUUAGAGUGGACAAUACCUCAUGACUGGGGGGCCGGCCUUCGUUUUCCAUGACCUCGAUAAGGUCAUCAAUAUCGCUUUCAAAUGGACCUUAUGACUUUGGUGCAAAGCCUUAGAACCGAAGCAAGCACAACAACCUUGAAGUCCAACACGCUAAACGUUAUUACCCGUAGUAGGUAACAAGCUAUGGAAGGAUUCAUGUCACUUCCCACUUAAUUCCUACUGACCCAUAUGCUUUGCUGUAUGACACCCUAAACAAAUAUCAUUUUGUCUCGAAGUCAUCCGUGUAGAGGAGGCCAUCAAGCUCGUUAGGUAUAGCAGUGACCAAAGAGACUUUGGAAUAUAGCAACAAGAGUCGCAACAUCACCAAAGUCUCCACCGUCCUACAGGCUACAGGAUCCCAAGCACAGGCACAGGCAGAAUCAGGACCGGUUCAGAGACAAAUCCAAGUCAUCAAUGGCAAGGUUGCUAUCGGUCAUCUGGUAAAGAUAAUGAAGAAUA